GUAAAAUGAGACAGAUAUGAAAUAAAUAUUGAAGAGAAAAAGAGAAGAGCGAUAAAGUACAGGAGGUACAGCUGUGCAAAACAGACCAUCUGUUACGUCAGUCAUUGUUACGUCUUGGUCAGAGUAAAUUGGUUAUCUUUUAAUUUGUCUGUAUAAUAAUGGUAAAGUCGGUAGCCAGUAUAUUACAAGUAAUGCUGCUUGUACAUCUCAAUGUGAGUCUUGCUACGGACUGGUUUUAUGGAUCGAAAGAUCCAUUUGGUCCAUGUCCGAGAAUACCAGAUCAGAAAUUGUUACAGAAAGAAUUAGAAUACGCAAAGGAGUACAAGAAGUUUUAUAAGGCUCCUAAUGAAAUCUUUAUUACUAGUUAAGGGAAUUCCAUUAAUUUAAUUGCUGUGCAGUAUACGUAUAUGUCUUUCCAAGAAGAAAGAAUGUAUAGUACUGAAUAAAUGUUCUAAUAAGUAGUUA
Non-coding RNA from Linepithema humile (Argentine ant), 465 nucleotides. The record is from RefSeq and is a predicted model, not a curated record. Lineage: Eukaryota; Metazoa; Arthropoda; Insecta; Hymenoptera; Formicidae.